GAGUUUCCUACUUCAUCUUUUUCAUUCUCUGUCGACUCCGCUUCCCGAAAGUUCCUUUUUUACUCGAUCUGUUCGACUCCUCCGCGUUCUCCACUGACGAUGUGAUUCCUCUUCCUGUAAUAUGUGUUCUAUAUUCAAGAUGAGUGGGCUUCAACCUGAAGUUGAGAUAUAUCUACGUUCUCUGUAACCGAAUAUUCAAAUUCAAAGCGAUCAUAUUGCCCAGCAGAGAUAUUGCCCACUGAUUUUUUAAUCUUCUUCUUCCUCCCACGGGUGUACUCUCUUUCUCUGUUGUUUCGUGUAGAUCUUUAGCGGUGGUGAUGGCGAGGCUGUCGCAGAGAUUAUUACUGCGAGGAAAUGGUCGACAUUGAUGUUGGUUCAUGGUGACGAUCUUUCUCUUGAUGCUUUUGGAUUUUGGGGUUUUCUCUCUUCUGAUUAAUAACAACGACGAAUCUUCUCCUAUGGAUCUCUCUUAUUUCCGACGAGCUGCGACUGAGAGAGGUGAGGAGGGACUUGGGAAGAGAGGAGAUCAGUGGACUGAAGUGCUCUCUUGGGAACCUAGAGCUUUCGUCUGCCACAACUUCUUGAUUCAUCCAGCAGAAGCUAGGAGGUCCUUCAGUUUCUGAUUACAAGAAGCUUCAUUCUGAGAAGUCUGAUUUUCAAAUAAAGUACAAUGAGGUUUUCGCUAAACAUCAAGGAACGUUGAGAGAGAAUUUCUAUAUGAUUGGUUGGAAUGGUAAUGGAGUGUACAGAGUACUAAAGAUAGAGCGGCUUGAUGCGUCGGAGCUUAACCUCAGUGAGGAUUCCACAUGCCAAAAAAGAAUGCUACGAGCUGAAUAAACGGAUACACGAAGGAAGCAAGGUGACAUGCGGCCUCAAACUUGUCACUCUCUGUUAUGGCAUAAUUGAAGAGAGAUAUGCGAAUUUGUGGUCACAGGGUGUAUGAAGUGUCCAAGAAUGAGAUCAUUUCUGUGCGAAAUUCUAGCGUACUUUGCAACUUGGCAAACUCGAGAGACAAGAACAGGGACAAGAGGCUCAUGUAGUCCUGUGUAUGGUGGACCUUACGAAAGGCUUCUUUAUGAUGCGUAGUUUCUAGAAGAAUAUAUGUGAACAUAAGAGUGGUAGUGCUCUCUGUAAGAAAAUGUUUGUGUGAAACGAGUUAUUGUUCUUAUUA
Raphanus sativus (radish) is the source of this 1171-nucleotide long non-coding RNA. RefSeq lists it as uncharacterized. Lineage: Eukaryota; Viridiplantae; Streptophyta; Magnoliopsida; Brassicales; Brassicaceae. The record is from RefSeq and is a predicted model, not a curated record. The transcript has 6 exons.